CCAAUAGCGUAUAUUAAAGUUGUUGCAGUUAAAAAGCUCGUAGUUGAAUUUCGGGAUCAAGGGAUCGGUCAUGCCUUGGUAUGUACUGGUUUUAUUGGUUCUCACCUUCUAAAGAACCAUGAUGUCAUUCAUUUGAUGUUAUGGGGAAUUAGGACUGUUACCUUGAAAAAAUUAGAGUGUUUAAAGCAAGCUUACGCUUG
RNAcentral lists this ribosomal RNA (200 nucleotides) under uncultured Glomus. RNAcentral describes it as "partial small subunit ribosomal RNA". It matches the Rfam family "Eukaryotic small subunit ribosomal RNA", at positions 591 to 797 of the family's 1831-position model. Lineage: Eukaryota; Fungi; Glomeromycota; Glomeromycetes; Glomerales; Glomeraceae. The record is from RNAcentral.